CUAUCUUGUGAGUGUGCGGCAACCAAGAAAAUAUACUAGGAGCUGACAGAAACACCCGCUGCAGCUCCCCGCCCCCUCAUCCGUCUCGCUCUCCUCCAUCUACCUGAGUGGGUCACUCGUGUGGGCGUUCCUUCUACGUUUUCUGUUCUCGAAGCACUCGUUGUCUUCUUGCUGUUGCGUUCCUGCUUGCUUGCUCGCCUACUUGCUUACUUGCUUGCUGCCGUUGCUGUGUUUUCACUGUGUGUGUGUGUGUUCCUGCGUCGCUCAUCCCCGACACUGCGUCAGUGCGCGUGUAGGUGCGAAGGGCAGGCGGGGAGAGGGUGUACAUGCCACAUCCUUUCUCGCUGAUCUGGCAGCGCUCGUAACGCGUCGUCUCGCGUGCGUUUCUCUUCAUCCGUCUCCUCUUUCCCUUCUCUCGUCCACGCUCACCGUCGACACCACCACCACACGUCCUUGAUGCGCCGGUACACAGAUGCACAUGGCCAAGCGCUUCCUUGCUGUGCUUACGAUCGCUUCCUUUGCCUGCCUGCGCAUCAUAGUCGCUGAGACGCCUUGCGAGAAAGCGGGGAGAAGUGCGCCCCCGGAGCUCUUGUCCACGUCUCCACACACAUAAUCACUGUCACCUGCACGCGCACGCGCGUUGCGUGAGCAUCGCGCAAGACCGCACGUGCAGGUGUGCGCAGACAGCCGCAGCGAGCCCACCCACCGACCCCCCCCCCUUACACGCCGAUCCCAGUCACUACCGUGCGCAUCCGCGGCGCUGUGUCCCCGGUGGGCAAUCAUCAGUGACGGACACACGCACGUGCAUACGUAAGCGAAAGAGAACGAGGCCACACAACGCUUAGCUCAGUGAAAAAGACGGUGGAAAGGAGAGUCGGGGGUGAGAGCCGUUCCCUUCUCUGAUCUCUGUCCAAUCACACGCACACACACAGGCACAGACACCGUUCCAGCAGAGCGGCGUGGGCGAGGGUGGUCGCGCAUGGGUGGUGACUUUGGCGCCCCCCCCCGCUUCCUUUAGGUUUGUGCGCUCACUCGCGAGGAUCGUCCGUGUCGGCGUGUGCGUGUGUGUGUGCGCGUAUUCGCUUCUCUUCGGUAGCGCGUGGUGCUUGAUUGUUUUAAGUUGGCUUUGCAUUCCUUAUCCCCAUCGUCGCGCCCUCCGACACACCCACCCACUCCCUCCUCUUCAGGUGGGCCCUGUAGCCAUGCCGGCACGACCGCAGCAGCAGCAGCAGCAGCGGCAGCGGCGGCGGCGCCCACACCGGCCACCGUCGAAGCAACUCCUGCAGAUACGCGAGGAGGGAGGCGGCAGCUACGCAGACUCGAAAACUAAUUCUCCGUUUCUCCGCGGAACCCCGUCCUGGUCGUCGCGGACCUCGCCGUCCGCCACGGCUGCAAUCGAUGGGCACGCCGGUGGUGCCGGUGGUACAGACAGUGUCGAUCGCGGCAGUGGUGUAGAGAUGACUAGCGCCGGCGACGGCGACGACGGGGACAACAAUGAAGGUAAAAGGAUAGCGGUGAAUCUGUCAAGGGCACGGCACCCGCCGCAACACUCACGGCAGUCCCGUCCUUACUUGCGCAUGAGCCCACGCGUCACGUCAGCGCGCAAGGCGAAGAGCGGCGACCGGAGGCGUGCCUCCAGCUCCGGCAGCGGCCUUGAACGCGCCGCAGCGUCGGCUGCGCUGUCCUCCGCCGCCUCUCUUGCUAGGUCUCUCCAGGCGCCGGUGACGUCGUCAUCUGCAGUGCUGGGUGGCCAUGUCACCUACUACGGCUUCCCGUCCUCGCGCAGCCUCUCUGACUCGGACGGCAACGAGGCCGACACGCAGAACAGCAAGAGCGACUGUAGCAGCUCCUGCCUGGCCGCGGCGCAUGCGGCACCAGGGAGUGAGCCUGCGUCGCCGGCGGUGCGGGUGGGCGACUGCGGUGGCGGUGAUGGCGGUACCGUGUUUGGGAUUCCCGGUAGCGCCAGUGAUGAUGCGCGGCGGACGACGGCCAGCCGCAAGCCGGAGACGGCGGUGAGCGGUGACGGCGAAAGUGACUCUAGGGCGUACGCAUCGUCUUCGCCUCCGGGUACCACCGCGACGGCGAGCACGGCCCCACUGACAUACGCGGCAGUGGCCUCGUCGUCACUGCACGGCAAGCGACUGCCUCAGUCCCGCGUCAGCUUUAGCCAGUGGCGCAAGCGUGUAUGCUGCGGCAGCGCCUCCAUGCCAAAUACCAUCGAUGGCGCCAACACCACGCCUGGCACGUCCUCGGCAGCAGCGGCGGCCUUCCUAAACACGUUCCCCAGCGCUCCGCUGACGCUGAAGACUGCCUUGGCAGCCACGACGGCGAGCACGCCGCGUGCGACAGGCAAGAGCACACCGACAAGCACGCCUUCCGUGGACGGCAACGGCGACGGCAAAGCGAGCAUGCCAAGCGGCGACAAGCACGACUGCACGACCGGUGGGCCACGACAUCUGUCAGCGAGCGCCGUCAUGCCGCCCUUGCCUCCCUCGGUGCACCGUCACCAGCCGACGCACCUGAUUCUGCAGUUGCCCCACGCUCCACUACCGCAGCAGGCGCGCAACGGUCCUGAAUCGGACGAGGAUAUGGCAUCCGACAGCUCUCCACGCACUGCCGGCACUCCUGGUAUAGCCGCAGCUGCCGAUGAGCUGUCAUCGCCCGUGUCGCUUCCGCCGAAGAGCAACGGCACCGCUACCGCCGUCGCCACGGCGCUGCCAUCCCUGCCUCGCUCUGCAUCAGAAGUGACGUCCGCGACGGGUGUGCGCAUGCCUGGCGUACAGAAAGGUGCACAGCAGCAGCGGCAGCAGUUGAACGUCCUGAAGCCAGUCAUGUCGCCGUCGUAUACGACCUUCAGCCCCACGACCCCGACGCUCGGAGGCGCCAAAAGUGGCCCGCGCCCCAAAGUCUCCGCCACCGCCGCGGCGGCAGCCGGCAAAGGCAUGAACCGUGUCCCGUCUGCAGCCUCCUCCUUCAACGCGGCGGAGAUACUGCCCGGGCUCUUCCUCGGCGCCUACGUUGACGCCACCGACACGGAGGCGCUGGCGGCGCACGAUAUUUCGCUGGUCAUCAACUGCUCGUACGAGUGCCCGGUGACACCAGCGAUGGUGAACAACAACCAUCACGUCCGCUACGCUCAGUGUCCGCUGCGCGACCAUUCUGACGAAGUCAUCGCACCUUUCUUCACGCCUGUCACCCGCAUCAUCCACGAGCAGUUGCACCGCCGGCAAAUAAAUCAUCAGCGCAUGGCCCGCCGCGCCGCGACGAGCGCGCCGGGUGUCAAUGUGAACGACUCCGAGGAUCGCGAAGUGCAGGGGCGCAUGCCUUGGGCCUGGGCGGACGAGGCGGAGAACGUGUGGGUGGCCCCUCCGUCGCUUGUGUCGCCGCCACUGCCGGUGGGUGGGCAGCCAUCGUUCAAGGAGAGCAAGCGAGAGGCUCCCCGCACACCGUCCUCGACGCGGGGGCUCGGUGCGCGCUUCGGUGACGGUGCCGGGUGCAGCAGCACCAUAACCUCAUGCUCUCCGUCGCCGAUUCCGGGCGGCAACGCCACCUUCCCGCCCUUUGCCGCCGCGCCCAUCACGGCUGAUCCGGCUGGCGCGACGGCCACCGAAGCUCCUGGUGCUGCCGCUGCUGCUCCAGGAUCGGCGGACGUGUCUUCGGAUACGCAGAACGGCAGCAACGUCCGCACGAAUACGUUGUUCAACACGGCAACCACCACACCCCUACCAGAAGCAUCUGCCAUCACCGCACUACCCGCGUCGGCGUCGUCGCCGUCGCCGCUCACCGUCGUUGACCCACGCGACUGCGGUGGCGUGCUCGUGUGCUGCCGCAUGGGUGUGAGCCGCAGCGCCACCUUCAUCAUUGCCUACCUCAUCCUCUACGGCUGCACGCUAGCACCGCUAGACGACACCGCCUCGCUCUUCGUGCACUUCCUCGAGCGAGAGCGCCGCAUCAUCGAAGAGGCAGGCGGGCUCACCUUCUUCGAGGACAACAACGGAGGCGUCUCCAACACAUCGUCCCCGGUCCUGGCGACGGCGCCGGCGUGCCCGGGGCGCGGCAGCAGGUGUGUGAACGGGGCCCUCGCCUCGCACGGAAGUCCGGGCGUGAAUGGUGUCCAGCCAUUCGUACAGAACCUCUUGCCGCCAAACUCACCACGAACGCUCAGGCGCUCUGCUAUGAUACCUGUGUCGUCGCCACUUUCCCUCGGCGGCGGGUGCGUUUCCGGCUCCCUCACAACCCCACUGAGUGGGAAUGCCUCAACACUGUCGCAGCAGCGGCUUUGCACGGGGUCGCCCGCCACCCAGAUCGAGCUUGGCUCGCGCUUGUGCCAACCGUGCUACUUGUUGCAUCUGCGAGAGCGGCGGCUGCAGCAGAAGACUCAGCGGCGGCUUCUUAUCAGCGGGCAGCAGCAGCAGCAGCGGAGAGAGCAACGCGAUGAGGAGCAGCAGAUGAUGGCGCUGUCGGCGUCGCGCAUGGCCGUGAGAGAGGUAGGGCAAGGGUGCGGGCGGAUGGGCAGUGUCGAAGAUAAUUCGAACUUUGGAGGCAGUAGCAGCGCUACGGCAAGCGGCCGCAGCGACGGCGGACACCAAGAGGAGCAGCAGCAUCAUUAUCAUCGCCGUGUCCUCUGUGCGUUGCCGUCGUCGGCACCGGUGACCUCGUACCGCAGCGCGCGCGGGAGUCGCGCGGUGACGCUGCUGGAGGCGGCCUACGCCGACGAACGCGUUCAUGCGGAUGACGGGGUGGACGAGGAGGGGGAUCGGCAGCAGGAGGAUGGUUCGCGAAUGGCUGUUGAACAGAGAUCGGAAAGCCUUGCUGUGGUCAGUGCUACCACCACACCAACGCUGAAAAGCGACACCCAGAAGGUGCGAAACAACUUCCCAACACACAAGUUGUGCGUCGCGGCCGCAGAGGCGGCCCCCACCACACCUGAUCACAGCGCCGUUGCCGGCGAGCGCCGAGGCGACGGCGAGAACGUGUACGAAACGCCUCUGCCGUCCGGUGAGCAGCAGCAGCAGGUGCCGUUGCGCUCGUCCUGCGCGAUUCUCCCCACACAACCACCCAUGAGGGGCCGCCCCCACAGCGACCUGAACGCCAGCGCGAGCACGUUGCUAGGCGUCAGCUUUACCAGCAGCGGCGGUGGAAGUGGGAGCGCCUUCGGAGGCGCAGCGCCGGCGAUGACUUACCGCGAGGCUUUCGAUGCGGUGAAGCGGCAAAAGGCUGAUGUCAACCCGAACAUCGGCUUCGUCUUGGCGCUGCGCGAGCUCGCCGGCGGCGGCGACGUCAGCUUCAGCAUGUCCUUCUAAAAAGCCGAAGUAACGAGGAAGCGCGACGCUGAGGUGUAUAGAUGGGGCCAACGGUGUCCUUCGUGGUGUUUCGUGUUGCCUCGCUGGCGGUGCUGCUAAACAUGUUCUUUGACAAGCGAAGUCUGUGGCUGCUCGUCUCUUCGCUUGUUUUGUUGUUCACGCUGCUGUUGUUGCUGUGAUCAGCGUAUUCCUGUAGGCUGCCCGGCUGAGUAUGCGUCUUUGUGUGUGCGUCUGCCCUUGCCCGUCGCGUCUCCUCUCUUGCUCGCCCCGCUCCCUCCUUCUGCCUUUAUCAUCUCCUCCGCCUACGUCUGCAUGCAUCAUGUGAUGGAUUUCGGCGUCCUCCUCUCUCCCUCUCUCUUUCUUCCCUUCCAUGUUGCUGUGGUUGUGUUCGUGUCUGUGCGUCUGCAAGGAUGUGACCCUCUUCGUGUGCCAAUGGCGUGCUGGAUGCCGUGUAUUUUGUCCAGUCGAAAGAGAGGGAGGCAGAGACAGAAGGCGCAGGAAGGGGGGGGGGGGGGCAGAGGUUUUGCGAUAGUGGUCGCUUCUCUGGAUGCCGAUGUGGAGGCUGAGGAUGUUCGAAUCUCUGCGUGUGUCUGUCUCUGUGUGUGUGUUUGUGUGUGUCUGUGUCUGUGCCGUCUUGACCCCCUUCCUCCUCCGCACCCCGGUCACUGUUCUCUCUUUAUCUACGCGAGUCUGUCAUUCGCUUGGACUUGGCCCCACUCGACAUCAUCCAGCAGCGCAUCCGGCUUUCUUGCAUCUGUGCGCGUGAGUCUCUUGGUGGGCGACCCUCCUCCUCCUCGCCAUGCUUUAGCCUUUUCUAUGAAACACUGUUGCCGUCAGCGCUGCUGGUGGCGACUUGGUCGGAUGCUAUUCGUGCUAGCACGGCGUGCUCUGUUCCGUUCUUC
Molecule: unclassified non-coding RNA, 6205 nt
Filed under: Leishmania donovani
Lineage: Eukaryota; Euglenozoa; Kinetoplastea; Trypanosomatida; Trypanosomatidae
Description: gene:LdHU3.05.0810(CDS-product:phophatase-like_pr otein)
Source: RNAcentral